GUGCCAGCCGCCGCGGUAAUACAGAGGUCCCAAGCGUUGUUCGGAUUCACUGGGCGUAAAGGGUGCGUAGGUGGUGAGGUAAGUCGGAUGUGAAAUCUCCAGGCUCAACCUGGAAAUGGCAUUGGAAACUACCUUGCUAGAGGGUUUGAGGGGGGACUGGAAUACUUGGUGUAGCAGUGAAAUGCGUAGAUAUCAAGUGGAACACCAGUGGCGAAGGCGAGUCCCUGGAAAAUACCUGACACUGAGGCACGAAAGCUAGGGGAGCAAACAGGAUUAGAAACCCGCGUAGUCC
Molecule: ribosomal RNA, 292 nt
Filed under: uncultured bacterium
Lineage: Bacteria
Description: partial 16S ribosomal RNA
Rfam family: Bacterial small subunit ribosomal RNA
Source: RNAcentral